GGUCCAGACUCCUACGGGAGGCAGCAGUGGGGAAUAUUGCACAAUGGGCGCAAGCCUGAUGCAGCCAUGCCGCGUGUAUGAAGAAGGCCUUCGGGUUGUAAAGUACUUUCAGCGGGGAGGAAGGUGCUGAGGUUAAUAACCUCAGCAAUUGACGUUACCCGCAGAAGAAGCACCGGCUAACUCCGUGCCAGCAGCCGCGGUAAUACGGAGGGUGCAAGCGUUAAUCGGAAUUACUGGGCGUAAAGCGCGCGCAGGCGGUUUGUUAAGUCAGAUGUGAAAUCCCCGGGCUCAACCGGGGAACUGCAUCUGAUACUGGCAAGCUUGAGUCUCGUAGAGGGGGGUAGAAUUCCAGGUGUAGCGGUGAAAUGCGUAGAGAUCUGGAGGAAUACCGGUGGCGAAGGCGGCCCCCUGGACGAAGACUGACGCUCAGGUGCGAAAGCGUGGGGAGCAAACAGGAUUAGAUACCCGUGUACG
This 474-nucleotide ribosomal RNA is filed under the name uncultured bacterium. Its description in RNAcentral is "bacterial SSU rRNA". It matches the Rfam family "Bacterial small subunit ribosomal RNA", at positions 328 to 793 of the family's 1533-position model. The record is from RNAcentral.